Enterococcus faecalis 13-SD-W-01 is the source of this 33-nucleotide non-coding RNA. The record is from Rfam. NCBI's taxonomy places the organism in Bacteria, Bacillati, Bacillota, Bacilli, Lactobacillales, Enterococcaceae.
CUCUGGUUCAGCAAAUGGGUCAGGGCAAAGGAG